This 468-nucleotide ribosomal RNA is filed under the name uncultured bacterium. RNAcentral describes it as "partial 16S ribosomal RNA". It matches the Rfam family "Bacterial small subunit ribosomal RNA", at positions 28 to 507 of the family's 1533-position model. The record is from RNAcentral.
GACGAACGCUGGCGGCGUGCUUAACACAUGCAAGUCGAACGGAAAGGCCCUGCUUUUGUGGGAUGCUAGAGUGGCGCACGGGUGUGUAACACGGGUGUAACCUGCUCCUGAUUUUGGGAUAACUUCGGGAAACUGGGGAUUAUCCCGGAUGGGCGCUCCUGCUGCAUGGUGGGGGUUGGAAAGUUCCGGCGGUUGGGGAUGGACGCGCGGCUUACCAGCUUGUUGGUGGGGUAGUGGCUUACCAAGGCUUUGACGGGUAGCCGGCCUGAGAGGGUGACCGGCCACAUUGGGACUGAGAUACGGCCCAGACUCCUACGGGAGGCAGCAGUGGGGAAUAUUGCACAAUGGGCGGAAGCCUGAUGCAGCAACGCCGCGUGCGGGAUGACGGCCUUCGGGUUGUAAACCGCUUUCGCCUGUGACGAAGCGUGAGUGACGGUAAUGGGUAAAGAAGCACCGGCUAACUACGUG